This is a long non-coding RNA of Lagopus muta (rock ptarmigan), 1038 nucleotides long. RefSeq lists it as uncharacterized. The record is from RefSeq and is a predicted model, not a curated record. NCBI's taxonomy places the organism in Eukaryota, Metazoa, Chordata, Aves, Galliformes, Phasianidae. The transcript is spliced from 7 exons.
UCAGAAGGGAUCUUCCCUAUAGGGGCAGACACCUAGGAAGUCGAUGCAACAAAGCAAAUAAACACCAGAAGAGAAGAAAAGCUCCGAGAGAGUGCUCGGUUUAUGAGACGAGACCACCUGUGAGGCGGCCCUGCUCUGAGGCAGUGGGACACCUGGCGCACGACGGGCAGGUGAGCGACAGCUGUUUUCCUCAGAGUGCGACAGGCGGGUGAACGUUCGAAGCGGAAGCCAGAAAAAAGCUGUCCGGUCUAAGCUGGGGCAGUUGGUGGUCCUCGGGACUAAGGGUGGCCUCCUUCAUCUGAAGGAUCAGCUGGUGAAGAAAGAAGAAUCAGGAGGUGGAACACCAAGGCAAGAGCGAGCAAGAAGAGGAAGGAAGGAAGGAGACUACUACGGAUGGGCAAAGAGAGAGGCUCCCUGGGCAAAAGCAUGUCACAUAAGAGUAGAGCUUUGCCGGCCCCUUGGGUGACCAGCUCUGUUUGCCCAGGCUGCCCGACUCUGCACCCUGCUGCAGCACCAGCCGGAUCUCCGCAGUGCAUCAAUGUGGAUCAGCUGGUGAAGAAAGAAGAAUCAGGAGGUGGAACACCAAGGCAAGAGCGAGCAAGAAGAGGAAGGAAGGAAGGAGACUACUACGGAUGGGCAAAGAGAGAGGCUCCCUGGGCAAAAGCAUGUCACAUAAGAGUAGAGCUUUGCCGGCCCCUUGGGUGACCAGCUCUGUUUGCCCAGGCUGCCCGACUCUGCACCCUGCUGCAGCACCAGCCGGAUCUCCGCAGUGCAUCAAUGUGGAUCAGCUGGUGAAGAAAGAAGAAUCAGGAGGUGGAACACCAAGGCAAGAGCGAGCAAGAAGAGGAAGGAAGGAAGGAGACUACUACGGAUGGGCAAAGAGAGAGGCUCCCUGGGCAAAAGCAUGUCACAUAAGAGUAGAGCUUUGCCGGCCCCUUGGGUGACCAGGUGGGCUUUGUGCUGGGCGACCUCCCUGCAACCAGGGCUCGGGUCUUUUGCUGUAGUUGGCCUUUUGCCUUGUUGCUCCUUUGGCUGCCC